GGAGGUGUGGCUGAGCGGUCUAAAGCAGCGCACUGCUAAUGCGUUGACCCUCAAAAGGGGUCCGGAGGUUCGAAUCCUCCCACCUCCGCCC
RNAcentral lists this transfer RNA (91 nucleotides) under Candidatus Giovannonibacteria bacterium RIFCSPHIGHO2_01_FULL_45_23. RNAcentral describes it as "tRNA-Ser". It matches the Rfam family "tRNA". From Rfam's summary of the family: Transfer RNA (tRNA) molecules are approximately 80 nucleotides in length. The record is from RNAcentral. RNAcentral also lists the same sequence under 2 other names. Lineage: Bacteria; Candidatus Giovannoniibacteriota.